GGGGAGACAAUAUUUAACAGUAAAUAUCUCACCUGCCUGCAGAAUUAGCAAUAUGCAAAUCUACCCGAAUAUGCAAAUGAACCAGUCUUGCAAUUCAGGUAGUGCAUAUUGCUGUUGCUACCAACAGAGGGCACUAGACCAGCUCCAUAGCCAAACCCACCUAGUUGGUAGCAAACCUCAGCAGUACAGGAGAGAAGGCAAUACAUUUCACAGUACACACACACACACACUAUAAACAAUUACAUUACACACACCCUGCACCUAUAAUGGGUACAGGGUGACUAAAACAUAAGAUAAAUAAAGCAGCCUACAUAAAUAGUCUGUCUGAAGGUAGAAUAGGGGCUUUAAAGGCAAAUACAUCAAAGAGUCAUAGUCACAGGGGAGGAGGCUGGCAAGCAGGCCUCUCCAG
Molecule: non-coding RNA, 409 nt
Organism: Pelobates cultripes (western spadefoot toad)
Lineage: Eukaryota; Metazoa; Chordata; Amphibia; Anura; Pelobatidae
Source: the annotation of a GenBank genome assembly